GAUGGGUUGGAUGGGUUGGAUAGUGUUUGUGGAUUACACACUUCAAACUCUCCAAAUACUUUCUUGUUUUGUGUUUAAUGUAGAUUUAAAUAAGUCUCUACACUUAAAGUGUUAAAGUGGCUUCACUAACCAUAAUAUACGACUGUGUAGAAUUCAUUUUAGAUCUGGAUCAUUUAUACUGAAGGGUCUUUUAUUAAAAAAAACACUUAUAGUUAUAUUGGACUAUCAUUGUAAUGUGGUCUUUGAAAUGAAUUCUAGGUGAUUAUACCCCGGUGCUUCUGCAGUUAGGCCCAUUUCAGAAGUCUCUCUCAGUGUUUAGCCUAAUUAAUUAUGCCAUUAAGGAAAUUGAAUCCAAAGUUAACAGCGCUUUUUCAGCACUUCUGGGUUCCAGGCCAGUAGGUGGGUGUGGUUAAGGACCAGGCCAGUAGGUAGGUGUGGUUAAGGACCAGGCCAGUAGGUGGGUGUGGUUAAGGACCAGGCCAGUAGGUGGGUGUGGUUAAGGACCAGGCCAGUAGGUGGGUGUGGUUAAGGACCAGGCCAGUAGGUGGGUGUGGUUAAGGACCAGGCCAGUAGGUAGGUGUGGUUAAGGACCAGGCCAGUAGGUGGGUGUGGUUAAGGACCAGGCCAGUAGGUGGGUGUGGUUAAGGACCAGGCCAGUAGGUGGGUGUGGUUAAGGACCAGGCCAGUAGGUAGGUGUGGUUAAGGACCAGGCCAGUAGGUGGGUGUGGUUAAGGACCAGGCCAGUAGGUGGGUGUGGUUAAGGACCAGAUCAGUAGGUGGGUGUGGUUAAGGACCAGGCCAAUAUGUGGUUAAGGACCAGGCCAGGAGGUGGGUGUGGUUCUGGAUCAGGCCAGUAGGUAGGUGAGGUUCAGGAUCAGGCCAGUAGGUAGGUGAGGUUCAGGAUCAGGCCAGUGGGUAGGCGAGGUUCUGGACCAGGCCAGUAUUUCGGUGAGGUUCAGGAUCAGGCCAGUAGGUAAGUGAGGUUCAGGAUUAGGCCAGUAGGUAGGUGAAGUUCUGGACCAGGCCAGUAAGUAGAUGAGGUUCAGGACCAGGCCAGUAUUUAGGUGAGGUUCAGGAUCAGGCCAGUAGGUAGGUGAGGUUCUGGACCAGGCCAGUAGGUAGUUGAGGUUCUGGAUCAAACCAGUAGAGAGGUGAGGUUCUGGAUCAGGCCAGUAGGUAGUUGAGGUUCUGGAUCAAACCAGUAGAGAGGUGAGGUUCUGGAUCAGGCCAGUAGGUGGUGGUGUACACCUGGUUUCUGGGGUUCUAACCACAAUAGAGGUUAGAGGGAGAAUGUGACCCUGACGUCUUGCUCUUCGACUUCACACACACACACACACACACACACACACACACACACACACACACACACACACACACACACACACACACACACACACACACACACACACACACACACACACACACACA
Molecule: long non-coding RNA, 1428 nt
Organism: Oncorhynchus keta (chum salmon)
Lineage: Eukaryota; Metazoa; Chordata; Actinopteri; Salmoniformes; Salmonidae
Exons: 2
Source: RefSeq, a predicted model, not a curated record